CACAAUAAUUUGUCUUUUAAUUGAAGAAUGGUAUGAAAGGGUUAACGUGGGAUAAGCUGUGUCAAAAUAACAUAUUGAAACUAAUUUUUACGUGAAGAAGCGUGAAUUCUUUAGAGUGACGAUGAGACCCUAUGAAGUUUGACCUGAAGUUGUCUCAUUUACCAAUAAGUUAGAGCACAUGUGCUCAGCAGAUUUAAGGUGGACUAUAACGGUUUUGGUGGGGCCCCAGUCUUAGUAGGUGUAAGAUAGUACGCAGUUUUUGCGUUUUACAGGGCUUUGUUGCUCUAUAAGUUAAGUUCUCACUUGAGUAAAUCUAUACUUUAUAAAUUUGAUAAACUACUCUAGGGAUAACAGCACAAUCCUCUUCGAUAGAAGCUAUUGAAAAGGGGGU
This 391-nucleotide ribosomal RNA is filed under the name Arcuatula senhousia (Asian date mussel). RNAcentral's name for it is "partial large subunit ribosomal RNA". Lineage: Eukaryota; Metazoa; Mollusca; Bivalvia; Mytilida; Mytilidae. The record is from RNAcentral.